Molecule: ribosomal RNA, 1359 nt
Filed under: uncultured bacterium
Lineage: Bacteria
Description: partial 16S small subunit ribosomal RNA
Rfam family: Bacterial small subunit ribosomal RNA
Source: RNAcentral
GAUGAACGCUAGCUACAGGCUUAACACAUGCAAGUCGAGGGGCAGCAUGGUCUUAGCUUGCUAAGGCUGAUGGCGACCGGCGCACGGGUGAGUAACACGUAUCCAACCUGCCGUCUACUCUUGGCCAGCCUUCUGAAAGGAAGAUUAAUCCAGGAUGGGAUCAUGAGUUCACAUGUCCGCAUGAUUAAAGGUAUUUUCCGGUAGACGAUGGGGAUGCGUUCCAUUAGAUAGUAGGCGGGGUAACGGCCCACCUAGUCAACGAUGGAUAGGGGUUCUGAGAGGAAGGUCCCCCACAUUGGAACUGAGACACGGUCCAAACUCCUACGGGAGGCAGCAGUGAGGAAUAUUGGUCAAUGGGCGAUGGCCUGAACCAGCCAAGUAGCGUGAAGGAUGACUGCCCUAUGGGUUGUAAACUUCUUUUAUAAAGGAAUAAAGUCGGGUAUGCAUACCCGUUUGCAUGUACUUUAUGAAUAAGGAUCGGCUAACUCCGUGCCAGCAGCCGCGGUAAUACGGAGGAUCCGAGCGUUAUCCGGAUUUAUUGGGUUUAAAGGGAGCGUAGAUGGAUGUUUAAGUCAGUUGUGAAAGUUUGCGGCUCAACCGUAAAAUUGCAGUUGAUACUGGAUGUCUUGAGUGCAGUUGAGGCAGGCGGAAUUCGUGGUGUAGCGGUGAAAUGCUUAGAUAUCACGAAGAACUCCGAUUGCGAAGGCAGCCUGCUAAGCUGCAACUGACAUUGAGGCUCGAAAGUGUGGGUAUCAAACAGGAUUAGAUACCCUGGUAGUCCACACGGUAAACGAUGAAUACUCGCUGUUUGCGAUAUACGGCAAGCGGCCAAGCGAAAGCGUUAAGUAUUCCACCUGGGGAGUACGCCGGCAACGGUGAAACUCAAAGGAAUUGACGGGGGCCCGCACAAGCAGUGGAGUAUGUGGUUUAAUUCGACGCAACGCGAAGAACCUUACCAAGUCUUGACAUCCUGCGACGGUGCUGGAAACAGUACUUUCCUUCGGGACGCAGAGACAGGUGGUGCAUGGUUGUCGUCAGCUCGUGUCGUGAGAUGUUGGGUUAAGUCCCGCAACGAGCGCAACCCUUAUGGUCAGUUACUACGCAAGAGGACUCUGGCCAGACUGCCGUUGACAAAACGGAGGAAGGUGGGGAUGACGUCAAAUCAUCAUGCCCUUUAUGACUUGGGCUACACACGUACUACAAUGGCGUUAAACAAAGAGAAGCAAGACCGCGAGGUGGAGCAAAACUCAGAAACAACGUCCCAGUUCGGACUGCAGGCUGCAACUCGCCUGCACGAAGUCGGAAAUUGCUAGUAAUCGCAGUAUCAGCAUGCUGCGGUGAAAUACGUUUCCCGGGCCU